This 1028-nucleotide long non-coding RNA is filed under the name Phasianus colchicus (ring-necked pheasant). RNAcentral's name for it is "lncRNA (ENSPCLG00000021930.1)". Lineage: Eukaryota; Metazoa; Chordata; Aves; Galliformes; Phasianidae. The record is from RNAcentral.
GGAUAGCUGCUUUCUUCAGUGGGCCAGGAACAGGCUCCCUUCAGGCUUUCUCAGUGCUGCUGUUUAAGCCUUCAGGGCAGAUGUUUUAAAAUAUAUAUAUGCAAAUAGAUAGAUAGGUAGGUAGAUAAGAUCAACGAGUGUCUGGGAAAGUGGGCUGUGUGUCUUUGUUGUUUGCUCUUUAAUGUUGAUCGCCCCCUCCCCAAGCUGAGGGCAUCUCUGCCUCCUGAAUGCCCUCUUUCCCCUGUCAUUUCCAUCUGCUCUUGCCACGAGAGCUGUGGUGAAUGGACUAACCAGGGGAAAAAGGUAGACACUUUGUUGACCUCAGCCUUAAAACAGCUUCUGGUGGUGAGGCUUCUGCAAUGGCAGGAAGAUGAAACUAAGAAAAAACAUGAUUGUUGGAGGAAAAAAAUGAGACUAAAACAACACAGUCUUCCUUCUGGUUGGGUAUAAUUUGAACAGAACACUUCACGUCAACUCCUUGGUUGUCUUGUUAUUAGGACUGGACUCUAAGCAGACAGUUAAGAGUGUGGUGAGGCUUCCUUUUAUCCUUUGCAUGAUUUUUUUUUCUGAGGGAGGUAACGUGAUUCAUUGGAUUUUGUAAUUUCAGUGUGCAUCACAGCUUUAAGGGGAAGUGGGGGGGGCUGUAACAUGAAAAGAGUCUUUGCAUAUUUCUAGCUGGAAAAUUCUUAAUACUGCUUAAUUUUUUUUCCUCUACAUCAAAUCUUAACAUGUCCAGAUCUGAAGCACUAUUUAAGUGCUUUUUAUAUUGUUGUUAAACCACCUUGAAAGUAGAUUUUUUUUUUUUUUUUGGCUGCUGCACUGCAAUUAAGAGAAACUAAGUGUGAGCAACGCCAUAAGAUCAGCUAUCAUAAAUGAAUUUUGACAUAGAGCACUACAAAUUGCAUUGUGUAUUUCCAUACUGUUGGUUACCACUUCAAUAUUCUGAGCACACAUUUUUGGAAUAUGUUACUAUUUAAACACAUCAUCAUGGUGCAAAGCAUCCUUCGUGCUUGUCUUUGAUGUUACCC